This is an RNA transcript of Diorhabda carinulata, 1400 nucleotides long. It is a transcript of the gene named E3 ubiquitin-protein ligase FANCL, with no coding region annotated. Lineage: Eukaryota; Metazoa; Arthropoda; Insecta; Coleoptera; Chrysomelidae. The record is from RefSeq and is a predicted model, not a curated record. The transcript is spliced from 5 exons.
AGUACUAAUGUACAUUUCGAAAAAAUGGCUAAUUAUGUUUUGACAUUUUAACGAACAUAACCUUAUUUUUACUCUUUUUUUUUAGCAGUUUGUAAUCGUAUUCAUAUAAUCCAAAUCAUAUUAAUACAAAGAAUGGAUACUACAGACGAAAUAGAUUUAAAAUUACUUUUCAAAUAUCCUUUAAUGUCUAAAACUGAAUACGAGGAUUCAAUAAUGUAUAAAGGAUUGAUUGAAAUUAACAAUGAAGAUUUCGAAAUUAUUGUCAAACAAACUUUCCAAAAUAAAUUUCUUUUGCUAAAAAAUCUCGAUUUUGUAGAUCAACAAGUUAUAAACAAUAUACAAGAAACAGCUUCAGAUAUAGUAACGUUUCUAGAUUUUAUUGAAAAGCAUAUUUCUACUAAAGUACUUUCAAAAGUACCAUUAAACAAUUGUGAUAUUUACAAACAAAUUUUAUACGAAUAUUCAGAAUUUUCAAACUAUUACCUCAAUUUGAAAGACUGUUAUCUAGCGUACGAUUUAAGUAAAAUUACUGCAACUAUGGUGGAUGAAUCGAAUAGAGAACAUAAAAUCGAAAUACGCGUUAAUUAUAAUGAUAAAAAGAAUAUUUUCGAAAUAAUUGAAUAUGAUUUACCUUGUGGUCGAGAUAAAUUCCAAAAAUCAUCAAAUUUGAAAAUGGUGUAUAAUCAAUUUGCACAAAUCGUCGAAACUUUGCAAUUAUAUUUCAACCUUAUGGAAGAUUUUGACAAAAGUUGCCACAUUUUAGAUCCUAUACCACAAAAUAGAAGGUACAACUAUAGGAGAAUUUGGUUAGAUGAGACUGUUUCAAUUAUAAUAACCGUGGAUCCGUUUUGUCUCUGUGCUCUACCUAAUAUUGUAUUUCUAGGUCCUGAAAGGAUAGUAGAAGCAUAUAGAUCGACGAUGAACAAUAAUUUAGAAAAUUGGGAUCCUACCAAUUACAUUUUUUCAGAAAUACUCAAAUUAAUAGACACAUUUAUAAAAUGGGUAGAUAAAAGAGGAUUGGAAAGUCCCAAUAGGAGAUUUGUGGGAAAAACAAGGACAAACUUUGAACCAGAACUCUAAUUCAAUACACUUGAAGAGGUAUAUAAAAAAGAGAAUUUCGGCUUCACAAAUAAAAUCACUUCUGAUUUCCCAUUGAAGUAUUGAACACAUUAGAUUGAUGAAAAAAAUUGGUUAAUGUCGGUAAAUGCAAGAAGAUUCUUCUCAGAAGUAGUAGGAAGUUGUCCGAAUUGCGAAAAGAACAUUUCCUGUCCGAUCCCGAAUUAACAGGACUGUGAAGAUACCACAUUAAUACUAAAACAAAUAUUUACACUCCUAAAAAUACUCGAAUUAUAUUCAUCCUGUAUAUAAAAAGUAAAAAAAAUAUUAUACACAUUAAUGAA